RNAcentral lists this ribosomal RNA (460 nucleotides) under uncultured bacterium. Its description in RNAcentral is "partial 16S ribosomal RNA". It matches the Rfam family "Bacterial small subunit ribosomal RNA", at positions 338 to 795 of the family's 1533-position model. The record is from RNAcentral.
CCUACGGGUGACAGCAGUGAGGAAUAUUGGUCAAUGGACGAGAGUCUGAACCAGCCAAGUAGCGUGAAGGAUGACUGCCCUAUGGGUUGUAAACUUCUUUUAUAUGGGAAUAAAAUGUUCCACGUGUGGGAUUUUGUAUGUACCAUAUGAAUAAGGAUCGGCUAACUCCGUGCCAGCAGCCGCGGUAAUACGGAGGAUCCGAGCGUUAUCCGGAUUUAUUGGGUUUAAAGGGAGCGUAGGUGGAUUGUUAAGUCAGUUGUGAAAGUUUGCGGCUCAACCGUAAAAUUGCAGUUGAAACUGGCAGUCUUGAGUACAGUAGAGGUGGGCGGAAUUCGUGGUGGAGCGGUGAAAUGCUUAGAUAUCACGAAGAACUCCGAUUGCGAAGGCAGUUCACUGGACUGCAACGGACACUGAGGCUCGAAAGUGUGGGUAUCAAACAGGAUUAGAUACCCCUGUAGUC